Molecule: ribosomal RNA, 418 nt
Filed under: Providencia sp. A18
Lineage: Bacteria; Pseudomonadati; Pseudomonadota; Gammaproteobacteria; Enterobacterales; Morganellaceae
Description: bacterial SSU rRNA
Rfam family: Bacterial small subunit ribosomal RNA
Source: RNAcentral
UCAGCUCGUGUUGUGAAAUGUUGGGUUAAGUCCCGCAACGAGCGCAACCCUUAUCCUUUGUUGCCAGCACGUUAUGGUGGGAACUCAAAGGAGACCGCCGGUGAUAAACCGGAGGAAGGUGGGGAUGACGUCAAGUCAUCAUGGCCCUUACGAGUAGGGCUACACACAUGCUACAAUGGCGUAUACAAAGAGAAGCGACCUCGCGAGAGCAAGCGGAACUCAUAAAAUACGUCGUAGUCCGGAUUGGAGUCUGCAACUCGACUCCAUGAAGUGGGAAUCGCUAGUAAUCGUAGAUCAGAAUGCUACGGUGAAUACGUGCCCGGGCCUUGUACACACCGCCCGUCACACCAUGGGAGUGGGUUGCAAAAGAAGUAGGUAGCUUAACCUUCGGGAGGGCGCUUACCACUUUGUGAUUCAU